This 465-nucleotide ribosomal RNA is filed under the name Vreelandella stevensii. RNAcentral's name for it is "partial 16S ribosomal RNA". It matches the Rfam family "Bacterial small subunit ribosomal RNA", at positions 338 to 795 of the family's 1533-position model. Lineage: Bacteria; Pseudomonadati; Pseudomonadota; Gammaproteobacteria; Oceanospirillales; Halomonadaceae. The record is from RNAcentral.
CCUACGGGUGGCUGCAGUGGGGAAUAUUGGACAAUGGGGGGAACCCUGAUCCAGCCAUGCCGCGGGUGUGAAGAAGGCCCUCGGGUUGUAAAGCACUUUCAGUGAGGAAGAACGCCUGGUGGUUAAUACCCAUCAGGAAAGACAUCACUCACAGAAGAAGCACCGGCUAACUCCGUGCCAGCAGCCGCGGUAAUACGGAGGGUGCGAGCGUUAAUCGGAAUUACUGGGCGUAAAGCGCGCGUAGGUGGCUUGAUAAGCCGGUUGUGAAAGCCCCGGGCUCAACCUGGGAACGGCAUCCGGAACUGUCAAGCUAGAGUGCAGGAGAGGAAGGUAGAAUUCCCGGUGUAGCGGUGAAAUGCGUAGAGAUCGGGAGGAAUACCAGUGGCGAAGGCGGCCUUCUGGACUGACACUGACACUGAGGUGCGAAAGCGUGGGUAGCAAACAGGAUUAGAUACCCCAGUAGUC